CCAAGGUCAGCUAAGCUGCUUGCGCUCGCUGCGACUCGGAUGGGGAGACCCAGGGCCGUAUGCACCACUGGGGAGGUGCCAAGGGCAGCCCGCCUGCAACCUCUGCGAGAAAAGUGCCCGGAGCUGUCCGCGAAGUCCCGCCGAGGAGACUUCGCCCUUUAAUGCAGGCCCUGGCACCGUCCUGCAAUUGCUCUCUACGCGCGCCCGUCGGGCUCCUUCCCCCACAACUGACCCCGGGCGGGACGGAGGAAGGCGGGGCGAGCGGCCGCAACCUGGAAGCAAGCGAGGAGGAGGAGGAGGGCGGCUCGGCCGCUCCUUCGCUUCCUGCUUUCCUCCCGCCGCCUUUGCCGCAGAGGGCGACCUUGGCCGUCUCCCGCCUCAGCUUCAGCUCCGGCCCGAAGGGGCGCCUGCACCCCGCACCCAGCCCCGCGGCUCCCUCUUCGGGCAGGUGCAGUCGAGAAAGACCUGCUGCGGCUGCUUAUUUCACGCCCCCGCACCCACCCCCGAUGUCGGGCAGCCGCCUCGAAGGGCUGCGGGCUUUCCUGGCCAGUCCAGUCCAGUCCCGAAGGCAAAACGAGCCCCCUCGGUGCCUCGCGAAAGCGGGGUGAAUUUCAAGAGCGUUUCGCCCGUCUGAGGGACGCGGAUGGCCGGGGAGGAAGGAGGAGGCUUCGCUCCUCAGAGAUGCAUUCGGGAACUUGCAGCGCGAGGGGCUGCUACGAUGGACGGAUUCGUUUUCUUUUAACUGACCAAAUUUGGAAUAAGGUCCUCUCACCCGUUCCUUGGAACGCACGCUCCUUCAUUUGGUUUUCUAAAGCGUUUUAAUGCAUCAGGAUGGACGGAUCCAAUUCCCAGGAUGCCUUGGGAGAAAGGGAUAAGUUUAAGGACGGAGCAACAUAAGUUUAAACAGAAAUGAGGGCUGAUUUGAGCUAAUGGAUGUUUUAAAGAAGCCAUUACAAGGGCGCCCAAACGUUUAACCCUGAUAUUAUCCAAAUCGGAUUACAGCUCCCAACCGAUCCAGCUGAAGGGUAGCAGGGUACGGCUUCAAUGAUGUUACUCAAAAGCACCCUAUCUGCAAAUGAAUUAAUAACAAAAGUUAAAGCCUGGGUAUUCUUCUCCUUCUGAAAAAAGUAAACUUGGACUCUAAUGGUAAGAACCAAGUUUUAUUUCAUUUGCCUUGAUUGUCUGACAAAGCAGUUCCCUCCCCCCCCCCAUCUCCACCUCAACAGCCCCAUAAAGUUAGGCUUGGCAGAAUCCUCUGACAGAAAAU
Long non-coding RNA from Python bivittatus (Burmese python), 1267 nucleotides. RefSeq lists it as uncharacterized. The record is from RefSeq and is a predicted model, not a curated record. NCBI's taxonomy places the organism in Eukaryota, Metazoa, Chordata, Lepidosauria, Squamata, Pythonidae.